UCCGAUCACAAGGUGGGCCCUCUAAGGC
This 28-nucleotide small RNA is filed under the name Bombyx mori (domestic silkworm). RNAcentral describes it as "ovarian small RNA-27490". The record is from RNAcentral. Lineage: Eukaryota; Metazoa; Arthropoda; Insecta; Lepidoptera; Bombycidae.